RNAcentral lists this ribosomal RNA (266 nucleotides) under uncultured bacterium. RNAcentral describes it as "partial 16S ribosomal RNA". It matches the Rfam family "Bacterial small subunit ribosomal RNA", at positions 87 to 354 of the family's 1533-position model. The record is from RNAcentral.
UAUGGCGACCGGCGCACGGGUGAGUAACACGUAUCCAACCUGCCGAUGACUCGGGGAGAGCCUUUCGAAAGAAAGAUUAAUACCCGAUGGCAUAGUUCUUCCGCAUGGUAGAACUAUUAAAGAAUUUCGGUCAUCGAUGGGGAUGCGUUCCAUUAGCUUGUUGGCGGGGUAACGGCCCACCAAGGCAUCGAUGGAUAGGGGUUCUGAGAGGAAGGUCCCCCACAUUGGAACUGAGACACGGUCCAAACUCCUACGGGAGGCAGCAG